Molecule: ribosomal RNA, 508 nt
Filed under: uncultured bacterium
Lineage: Bacteria
Description: partial 16S ribosomal RNA
Rfam family: Bacterial small subunit ribosomal RNA
Source: RNAcentral
GAUGAACGCUAGCUACAGGCUUAACACAUGCAAGUCGAGGGGAAACGAUAUUGAAAGCUUGCUUUUGAUGGGCGUCGACCGGCGCACGGGUGAGUAACGCGUAUCCAACCUGCCCACCACUUGGGGAUAACCUUGCGAAAGUAAGACUAAUACCCAAUGAUAUCUCUAGAAGACAUCUGAAAGGGAUUCAAGAUUUAUCGGUGAUGGAUGGGGUUGCGUCUAAUUAGCUUGUUGGCGGGGUAACGGCCCACCAAGGCGACGAUCAGUAGGGGUGAUGAGAGGAAGGUCCCCCACAGUGGAACUGAGACACGGUGCAAACUACUACGGGAGGCAGCAGUGAGGAAUAGUGGUCAAUGGGCGAGAGGCUGGACCAGCCAAGUAGCGUGCAGGAUGACGGCACUAUGGGUUGUAAACUGCUUUUAUAAGGGAAUAAAGUGGGAGUCGUGACUCUUUUUGCAUGUACCUAAUGAAUAAGGACCAGCUAAUUCCGUGCCAGCAGCCGCCGCCG